GCUGAUAUAGCCAAGCGGUAGGGCAAGGGUCUGCAAAACCUGGAUUCUCGGUUCGAAUCCGAGUAUCACCU
RNAcentral lists this transfer RNA (71 nucleotides) under Lysinibacillus sp. AC-3. RNAcentral describes it as "tRNA_Cys_GCA". It matches the Rfam family "tRNA". From Rfam's summary of the family: Transfer RNA (tRNA) molecules are approximately 80 nucleotides in length. Their secondary structure includes four short double-helical elements and three loops (D, anti-codon, and T loops). RNAcentral also lists the same sequence under 1 other name. Lineage: Bacteria; Bacillati; Bacillota; Bacilli; Caryophanales; Bacillaceae. The record is from RNAcentral.